AGCGAACGCUGGCGGCAGGCCUAACACAUGCAAGUCGAACGAACCUUUCGGGGUUAGUGGCGGACGGGUGAGUAGCACGUGGGAACGUACCUUUAGGUUCGGAAUAACUCAGGGAAACUUGUGCUAAUACCGAAUGUGCCCUUCGGGGGAAAGAUUAAUCGCCUUUAGAGCGGCCCGCGUCUGAUUAGCUAGUUGGUUGAGGUAAUGGCUCACCAAGGCGACGAUCAGUAGCUGGUCUGAGAGGAUGAUCAGCCACAUUGGGACUGAGACACGGCCCAAACUCCUACGGGAGGCAGCAGUGGGGAAUCUUGCGCAAUGGGCGAAAGCCUGACGCAGCCAUGCCGCGUGAAUGAUGAAGGUCUUAGGAUUGUAAAAUUCUUUCACCGGGGACGAUAAUGACGGUACCCGGAGAAGAAGCCCUGGCUAACUUCGUG
RNAcentral lists this ribosomal RNA (434 nucleotides) under uncultured bacterium. RNAcentral describes it as "partial 16S ribosomal RNA". It matches the Rfam family "Bacterial small subunit ribosomal RNA", at positions 29 to 507 of the family's 1533-position model. The record is from RNAcentral.